CUUGUUGUUGAUUUUUAAUAAUUGCCCUGGGAGGUUCCUAGUUGGGGGGUUUUUUCCCAUUCCCAAUCCCUCUAGGUCCUUUCCAUUAAACUAUCUCUUUUUUGGAGGUAGUUUUCUCUGUCAGAGAGUUCUCUUGAAUGGAAAUUUCCUCCACUUAUGUAGGACUCUAUCUCAGCCUUAAAAAAGAGCUGCCUUGCACAUUGAGAAGUUAAUUGACUUGUCUAUGAUUGUACUGUUAAUAUUUGCAAGAAGUAAGACUUUAACUUGGGAGUUCCUGAUUCUGAGGCCAGGUCUCCGUGCACUUUGCCAGAAGCUGAAAUUCAAACUGAAAAUUCGAAGAAAGCUCAAGAAGCCAGAAGCUCCUCUUCCAUCCAUUGAAAAGAUGGUCCUGGACUGCCUUCUCCAUGCCUUCCUCCAGAACCUGCCCCAGUCCUCUCUGACCAGAAAUAAGGUGGGAACAAUAAGAACAAGAACAAAAAGGAAGGAGGAGGCGGCAGCAAAGAAUGAGUUGGAGAAGAAGGAGGAGGAGAGCUAGAAGGAAACAGAUGAGAUGAAUAAUUUGAAAGUUACAUGUUGAAAUCAUUAAAGGGAAAAGCAAGCU
RNAcentral lists this long non-coding RNA (601 nucleotides) under Monodelphis domestica (gray short-tailed opossum). RNAcentral's name for it is "lncRNA (ENSMODG00000030383.2)". Lineage: Eukaryota; Metazoa; Chordata; Mammalia; Didelphimorphia; Didelphidae. The record is from RNAcentral.